GCACUUUGGGAUAAGCCUGGGAAACUGGGUCUAAUACCGGAUAGGACCACGGUCUGCAUGGAUUGUGGUGGAAAGCUUUUGCGGUGUGGGAUGGGCCCGCGGCCUAUCAGCUUGUUGGUGGGGUGAUGGCCUACCAAGGCGACGACGGGUAGCCAGCCUGAGAGGGUGUCCGGCCACACUGGGACUGAGAUACGGCCCAGACUCCUACGGGAGGCAGCAGUGGGGAAUAUUGCACAAUGGGCGCAAGCCUGAUGCAGCGACGCCGCGUGAGGGAUGACGGCCUUCGGGUUGUAAACCUCUUUCAGUGCCGACGAAGCGUAAGUGACGGUAGGCAUAGAAGAAGCACCGGCCAACUACGUGCCAGCAGCGGCGGUAAUACGUAGGGUGCGAGCGUUGUCCGGAAUUACUGGGCGUAAAGAGCUCGUAGGUGGUUUGUCGCGUUGUUCGUGAAAACUCACAGCUCAACUGUGGGCGUGCGGGCGAUACGGGCAGACUGGAGUACUGCAGGGGAGACUGGAAUUCCUGGUGUAGCGGUGGAAUGCGCAGAUAUCAGGAGGAACACCGGUGGCGAAGGCGGGUCUCUGGGCAGUAACUGACGCUGAGGAGCGAAAGCGUGGGGAGCGAACAGGAUUAGAUACCCUGGUAGUCCACGCCGUAAACGGUGGGUACUAGGUGUGGGUUUCCUU
Molecule: ribosomal RNA, 686 nt
Filed under: uncultured Mycobacterium sp.
Lineage: Bacteria; Bacillati; Actinomycetota; Actinomycetes; Mycobacteriales; Mycobacteriaceae
Description: bacterial SSU rRNA
Rfam family: Bacterial small subunit ribosomal RNA
Source: RNAcentral